RNAcentral lists this non-coding RNA (24 nucleotides) under Arabidopsis thaliana (thale cress). Lineage: Eukaryota; Viridiplantae; Streptophyta; Magnoliopsida; Brassicales; Brassicaceae. The record is from RNAcentral.
UUAAAUUAAAUCUGCUAUAAUUUA